Molecule: long non-coding RNA, 4836 nt
Filed under: Gallus gallus (chicken)
Lineage: Eukaryota; Metazoa; Chordata; Aves; Galliformes; Phasianidae
Source: RNAcentral
GUUUGGCACCUGCUUGGGAGUGACACUGCGCGCUUUCGGGGUGGAGCCUCCGAGGAGGGACGCUGCCCUUAGGGUGCACCCUGCAUUGGGGUGGGGACGCUGUCCUUGGGGUGCCCCCGCCUUCUGGGGGGUGGGGUCUGUAUGGGGGUGAAGAAGGUGGCAGCCUCCUGGGAGUGCCAUCUGGCCGUGGGGUGCGCCCUCUUGAUGGUACCCCCAGCUUGGAGUGCUCCUGUCCAGAGGAUGUCACACCUGCCUGGGGGUGCACCCAUUUGAGGAUGCCACACCUGCCUGGGGGGAUGUCUUUCUGUUGGGGCACCUUCCAUGGGCUGAUCCCGUGUUUGGGGUUACACUCAGCUUGGGGUGACACCCUUCUUAUGGUGGCAUUUUGCAUGGGGUGACCCCAAGGAGGGCAAUUGCAUCCAGUUCAUAGGACACAGCCCCACAGCAGGAAUGCUGCUUGGGCUGGGAGGUGGGCAGGUGGAAGGGAGAUGGGACUGUGGGUGCCUCCUUGCUGCCCUUAGCCCUGAGCUGCAGGAGGGGAGAGAUGGAGAUGCUGUGUGUGUGGGUAAGCAGAUGUGUGCAGUUGUUUCGGGGUGAUGGUGGUGCCCUCUGCUAGCAACUGUAGAGAUGUGGUGGUGGCUGAGUGUUUGCACUUGGCAAAACAGCAACAGGAGCCCCAUGGGUCCGUAGCUGUGGUAGUACAAAGAAGCAAAACAGAUUCACAGGGAAGAAAACAUGAAUACAUCAGUAGUGCAGCCAGCUGAAACCAUCUCCACACCCUGGCAGUGCUGUCAGCUGCUGCUUCUCAAGGGCUAACAGCUCAUCCUAACGAUGGAAUUACCCAUUCCUUUGCAUUCCAGCCAUGGGACAGCCCACAGUCUGCUACUGUAAUGUUGUAAAUUAGAUAAUAACACAGCUUUGUUAAGUGGGCUGAUUCUUCUUGCUGUAGUUUCUGUCUCAUUAGAAAUGAAGAGAAAAAAUAAAAGAAAAGAAAACCUGUCCUGAAGGAAACACCCAUUCAGCAGUCCCAGCUCUCUCCUGUAAUGAAAAUUUCCCAUUUUGCUUGUUAAGACAGCUGUAACCCCAAAAGAAAGGCAAUCCACACUCUAAAAUAAUAGAGCUGUUUGAGAAACUGGAAUGGGAAUAUGUGUUUAAACAAUAGCUGUGUGAUAAAAUAAUGACCGGCCUGUGCAGCUGUACUGCCAUAAAUAAUAAAAAAAAGACAAUUUAAUUCAACAAAUCCAUUAAUAUAAAUAAAAUAGCAAUCUCAGGGUAGAAACAAGAAAGUUGCUGUGAUAUAAAACCACGUGUAGUGCAAUGAAACCAUAUCGGCUCCAUCAGAGCAGGAGAUGUGCAUCAAGGCAUAAGAGGAGUUACAAAUAACAAUAUGACUGCCUUAUCUAAAGUGCACUAUCUCCUGGAAAGCUGAUGAAAACCCAGCAGGGUCUGCAGGCAGCUGCAGGCAUGUCCAUCCAUGCAAGCCUCUGCUGAGCAAAAUCUCAGUGGCUCUCUGUGCUCUUUGCACACAAGAGCUCGUGGGGUUUGUUUGAUCUCUGCUUCCAGUCUUGGCAAGCCCUGACUGCCUGAACGAGGCACCACAACAAAUAGGUGAGAGCACGGAUGGUGUUGUUUUGGUGGUGGAGCUCACAUGUUAAACGGGAGCUGCUGGGUGGUGAUGAGCUGCUUUGCCUUCUUGUUUGUUUCCUAAAUGUUGGUGACUAAAUCUCGGAGCAGACUGAUGCACUGUGAGCAUUUAGCCUGUUGAGCACAUUGACACUGAUGGAUGCUGAGCACUUUCAAGCUGGCCAUUUAGAGAGUUUGUAACCAGAAAUCAAUCCAGGCAGAAAAAAUGUACAUCUACCUGUUUACAUCAUAAACCACAAACGCGUUUGCAUCCUGCAACAAACACCUGGGCAACAUCCAGAGGAGACAUUCCCAACGUGUUAACUACUGCCAGCGCUGGGAUCCUGUAACCACAGCACAUGGAGAUGAUGGGAACUCAGUUAAAUUAAGGAGAACCACCAAGAUUGUGAAACGUGGCAGCAGGACAAGAGCUGGUUGCAACACAGGCUAGACUUUAGGUCUGUUGGCCAAUCGAACACAUCUGAUGCUGGUGAUUGGGAUGCCAGAGACAGUUCCCUGACUGCUGAUCUACCCUGUGGGUCACUGAGGCACGUUCUUGAGGGCUGAUCCUCCUGGCCUGCACAAAUCUGCAUGUCCAAUUUCCCGAAUGGCAGAAAAUUCUACAUUAAGAUGACAUUUAUCAGCUAAUCUUUUAAAAGAAAUUAACUGGGUAUUUAUGAGGCUUAGACUUAGGGUAUCAUAGAAUCAUUAAGGUUGGAAAAGACCACCAAGACCAGCAAGUCCGACUGUCAACUGAUUCCCCACCAUGCCCACCAACUACAUCCUUCUGUGCCACAAUCUAACUUCUCAGUGGCACCAGGGAGAGCACAACCAAGCUCCUUUUGGAUCCCACUUGUAUCUUGUUCCCUUACUGCAAGGACAGACCCAAGCCCAACCCUGGCAAACAUUUCCUACCAGGGCAGCCACCACUGUGCAGGCUGGGUGAUGAGGCACCAGUGGGUGCAAGGAAACCCUAAAGCCCACAGGGGUCAGGGCUGGCAAUGCCCCACAUCCCUCCAUGCUGCUCAGCCCUUCUGCUGAUGUUCUGCAGGAGAGCAGCAGCUGAUGGUGCUAAAAAUACCCUUGGGCAGGGUAGCAGUGGUUCAGCACUGGGCUUCCCAGAAGAGUGCUGGUAUUUCAGCCUUGUGACUCCAGCUCAGGCCACUUGAUGAACAGCAUGCAACUUUGCUCUGAUUUCCCCAUUUGGUAGGGAACAAUCUCAGUAACGGAUGGAUAAGUCAGCAAACAGCAUAGUUCGCUUUCUUAUUUUAGGUCUCCCAUAGACAUAGAUAUGAAUGACUCUGAAAUAUAGGCAGCACCUGGUCCUUCCCUGCUGUCACAUUGUCCCCUUGAUGGAAAAGCAAAGGAGAUUCCUAUACAAGAUCCCUCUGUAGGUCUGAGGAGGCAGCCGUAAAUGUCCGACCAUAUGCGUGCCAAACAUCCAACCACUCUGCAACCUCACUUUGCCCAUUGCACGUGGGGCAAGAUGGGAGGGAUUCCCCAAAUCUGCAAGCACAUCCCAUAAAAUACCCCGGACACCAGCUGAGAGCACCACCUGUCAGUGGAGUGCUUUGUUCCCAAACCAGGUCCUGCUGGCACAUCCCUCUGACACACUCUACAGAAGAAAAAGUAAAACUAGGAACUUUUUGACUUCUUAUUUUGCAGAAGUGUGACCUUUCGACCUGAAUCACGAUGAGUGGUUAUGAGGAAGAGCUGCUCUCACUUCUAAAUUAUUGCCAUGCAAUGAGCAGGUUUCCAUGGGGUAGCUGAAGGCAUGUCCUGAGGUACAAGGGAUACAAGCAUCCCAUUCUUGCUCUACUUUGCACUAAAGGACUGGUCUUAGAGGAGCUUAUUCUCUAAAAAUGACCUGACUGGCUGAAUAAAACACAAUUUCUGUUUUAAUAUUGUUGUGUUAUGAAACACUGCAAUAGAGGCACAAAUGUGGGCAAGAACAAGUUUUACUGCAGACGCUUUAUCUGCUGAUAGAUUGUCCCAGUGCUGCAUUCCUCAUUCCCUGGGGGUCUGGUCCAGCUCAGAUUGGAAGAUAGUGAAGAUCUUGGGAGAUCUCCAGUAGUGUGGGUCAAAAUUCACUGAUUACAGAAAUGCAAUUGGUUCAGUUGAUCUGCAUAAAGAAAAAAACCACAGCCCAUAGUGGGAAUGUAGAGUAGGAUUGAGAGGAAAAGCUGAGCCCUAAUAGGGAGGCUGGUGCAUGGUGUAUUCAAUAAUUGCAUUUAUGAAUAAACAAUUAAGUAUUACCAAUGAAUCUCUUGCAUUUUAUUGACCCAGGCACAGAAGCUGCUUUUUGGCACUGAUGACUUGCUCAGUUCACGCUUGACAAUGGGGAAUUGUAGUGGCUGUUCCCUUAAGAAAUCAUCCAAGAUUGGGACUUAUUUGUGCGCCAUUGCUUGCAUCAAUUAACAGUACAAUCUUUUUGUUAUGAAAACGCAAACAUUAGUAGCCUGAGGAGCCUUGUAAAUGCAAAUAUAAAACUUUAAUUUCAGUAACCCCCACUUUCCCUUCAAGUACAAUAAAGGCUCUUUUUUUUUUUUUUUUUCAUUUGCUGUUACAACGACGGGUCUUUAUUAUUAUUAUUAUUAUUUUUCCUCUUUCUCUUCACUUUACAUUGAGUUUAACUCAGGGGAUUUCAGUAGGGAUAGUUUUCCAUCAGCAGAUAUGGGGUGGCUGCAGCCGGUGCUGGGAUCUGUGGGCUCCUUGGGGCAGGUCAGUGCCAACCAUAGGGAGGGGAUCAUGGCUGGGCACUGGGGCCAGCCUUGGGCAGGGCAGAAUUCUCACGUGAGGAUUCUUUCCACUCUCUCCAGGCAGCUGGAGAGCCUAAAUUUGGCAUCGUGUUUCUGUUGCGAGAAUGAGAAGGAGAGAGAGACCUUGAAACGUGCCCUUGGCCAUGGCCCCGGUUGGGUGACCAUUGCUGCAGGGAAUGCUUUGGGGUCAAAACUGAUGGUUUUACUGUGAAGUGGUAUGAAAGAGAGAGCUGCCUUCUUGAAAGCAAGGUGGGAGAUGGCACCUGAGUCCGUGAUGAAAGAAUUGGACAAAAACCCAAGGUCUGCUUUCCCCUCUCUUUUUUACACCACGCAUGUACAAGUAAGACAGCCGCUUUGCUUUCUUCCUCCCAUGUUGGCCCAAGUGUGCCUGGGUAUGUUUCUAAACAGAAAACCUGCCCUCAGCAAGGUGCAGUCUGCAGCUCCUCAGGUUCCC